This 459-nucleotide ribosomal RNA is filed under the name uncultured bacterium. Its description in RNAcentral is "partial 16S ribosomal RNA". It matches the Rfam family "Bacterial small subunit ribosomal RNA", at positions 338 to 795 of the family's 1533-position model. The record is from RNAcentral.
CCUACGGGAGGCAGCAGUGAGGAAUAUUGGUCAAUGGUCGGGAGACUGAACCAGCCAAGCCGCGUGAGGGAUGAAGGUACAGAGUAUCGUAAACCUCUUUUGUCAGGGAACAAAGGCGGGGACGUGUCCCCGGAUGAGUGUACCUGAAGAAAAAGCAUCGGCUAACUCCGUGCCAGCAGCCGCGGUAAUACGGAGGAUGCGAGCGUUAUCCGGAUUUAUUGGGUUAAAAGGGUGCGCAGGCGGUCUGUUAAGUCAGCGGUAAAAGCCCGGGGCUCAACCCCGGCCCGCCGUUGAAACUGGCAGUCUCGAGUUGGAGAGAAGUAUGCGGAAUGCGCGGUGUAGCGGUGAAAUGCAUAGAUAUCGCGCAGAACUCCGAUUGCGAAGGCAGCAUGCCGGCUCCACACUGACGCUGAGGCACGAAAGCGUGGGUAUCGAACAGGAUUAGAUACCCUAGUAGUC